Molecule: long non-coding RNA, 260 nt
Organism: Schistocerca gregaria
Lineage: Eukaryota; Metazoa; Arthropoda; Insecta; Orthoptera; Acrididae
Exons: 3
Source: RefSeq, a predicted model, not a curated record
GUGGACAUCGGAAAUCGGUGGGCAGCAAAGCACGUUGGACCGAGAACGACCGCGAGCAUCAGCCAUCUAGGACUGAUCUUCAAGUGACCUAUCCGUAACAGGUGUUACUGCAUCUCAGCAGUUAUUCCGUGGACAAUUUCACAUGAGAAGAUAAUGGAUAAGGCGGUGCUGGACCGGCGCAAGGAGUCAAGCGCUGUGCCCCUGGCGAGCAGCGGGUGCACCACGCCUGACGACCCGGGACUUCUGGAAGCCACCUACCC